GACGAACGCUGGCGGCGUGCUUAACACAUGCAAGUCGAACGGAAAGGCCCUGCUUUUGUGGGGUGCUCGAGUGGCGAACGGGUGAGUAACACGUGAGUAACCUGCCCUUGACUUUGGGAUAACUUCAGGAAACUGGGGCUACUACCGGAUAGGAGCUCCUGCUGCAUGGUGGGGGUUGGAAAGUUUCGGCGGUUGGGGAUGGACUCGCGGCUUAUCAGCUUGUUGGUGGGGUAGUGGCUUACCAAGGCUUUGACGGGUAGCCGGCCUGAGAGGGUGACCGGCCACAUGGGGACUGAGAUACGGCCCAGACUCCUACGGGAGGCAGCAGUGGGGAAUAUUGCACAAUGGGCGGAAGCCUGAUGCAGCAACGCCGCGUGCGGGAUGACGGCCUUUGGGGUGUAAACCGCUUUCGCCUGUGACGAAGCGUGAGUGACGGUAAUGGGUAAAGAAGCACCGGCUAACUACGUG
Molecule: ribosomal RNA, 468 nt
Filed under: uncultured bacterium
Lineage: Bacteria
Description: partial 16S ribosomal RNA
Rfam family: Bacterial small subunit ribosomal RNA
Source: RNAcentral